Molecule: long non-coding RNA, 307 nt
Organism: Pristis pectinata (smalltooth sawfish)
Lineage: Eukaryota; Metazoa; Chordata; Chondrichthyes; Rhinopristiformes; Pristidae
Exons: 3
Source: RefSeq, a predicted model, not a curated record
GGAGGAUGUAAAAGAUCCAGCAAAACUUUUCAAAGAGCAGCAGGUUUAAGGUCUGUGCCCUAUUUACACAAUGGGUAAUAUUCCAGAAGGCUUCAAGAGGAAAGGCUUUGUGACUACUACAGCAUGCCCCAGAGCUUCAGCUUUGACUUCAACAUAUGCCAGGGGUGGAGAGGUUUCCCCAGAGGAUGUGUGCCAAUUUGAGAAAGAACUGUCUUCUCACAUCCAGGUGGGCCAAAUGAAGAGUAGCUUUGAUGCAAUCAAUGAAGAUCUGGGUUAGAAGAAUUAUCAUGAUUCAGAACUGAUGUGG